GGCUAGCGCUGCUAUACUGCAAGUCGAGCGGACAGAUGGGAGCUUGCUCCCUGAUGUUAGCGGCGGACGGGUGAGUAACACGUGGGUAACCUGCCUGUAAGACUGGGAUAACUCCGGGAAACCGGGGCUAAUACCGGAUGCUUGUUUGAACCGCAUGGUUCAAACAUAAAAGGUGGCUUCGGCUACCACUUACAGAUGGACCCGCGGCGCAUUAGCUAGUUGGUGAGGUAACGGCUCACCAAGGCAACGAUGCGUAGCCGACCUGAGAGGGUGAUCGGCCACACUGGGACUGAGACACGGCCCAGACUCCUACGGGAGGCAGCAGUAGGGAAUCUUCCGCAAUGGACGAAAGUCUGACGGAGCAACGCCGCGUGAGUGAUGAAGGGUUUUCGGAUCGUAAAGCUCUGUUGUUAGGGAAGAACAAGUACCGUUCAAAUAGGGCGGUACCUUGACGGUACCUAACCAGAAAGCCACGGCUAACUACGUGCAGACC
Molecule: ribosomal RNA, 493 nt
Filed under: Bacillus sp. CSS01
Lineage: Bacteria; Bacillati; Bacillota; Bacilli; Caryophanales; Bacillaceae
Description: bacterial SSU rRNA
Rfam family: Bacterial small subunit ribosomal RNA
Source: RNAcentral